This 66-nucleotide transfer RNA is filed under the name Polyphylla gracilicornis. RNAcentral describes it as "tRNA-Arg". The record is from RNAcentral. Lineage: Eukaryota; Metazoa; Arthropoda; Insecta; Coleoptera; Scarabaeidae.
AAAUAAGAAACAAACAAUUGUAUUUAGUUUCGACCUAAAACCCUGACGUUAAAUCGUCCUUAUUUA